Hydractinia symbiolongicarpus is the source of this 546-nucleotide long non-coding RNA. RefSeq lists it as uncharacterized. The transcript is spliced from 2 exons. The record is from RefSeq and is a predicted model, not a curated record. NCBI's taxonomy places the organism in Eukaryota, Metazoa, Cnidaria, Hydrozoa, Anthoathecata, Hydractiniidae.
GGUUGAUAAGACAUUUUAAAAGAGCCACCACCAUGGUCACCUCCUAUCUUUAGAUGGAUUUCAUCUUUAAAAGCUUGUCUCUCUAGCAGCAUGGAAUUUCUAAAUUGUAACAAUUAAUAACUUCGUAUUAUACAACCAGGAACAGAUGAAGCAUGGAGUUUGUAUUACCUGGCCAUUGUUUUCAUCUUCUCCCAGGGCACACCCAUAUCUGCUUUUAAAGCAACCAUUGCUUCAGAAGUUAUUGUUGCAGAAGAUAAUUGUGCUUCCUUCAAAAUUGUCUCCCGUUCUGCCUGAGGAAAGCGCUUUACCAAGGCAGAAGUCUGCCCUAACAAGGAAAAUUUUGUCGAUCCAGCUGCCGUGAAGAUUUGGUCGUGAAGGAAUUUUGUUCUUCUUCUCAAGUGACGGCGACUAACAUUUUCUUUAAUUCCUUUUGGAGUAGAUGUCAAGACUAAUGGCUGAAAAUAAUUAUUCUCAUAGAUAAAUAUUGGUAUACAUAACAUAGCUUUUUAUAAAUGUUUUAUUAGAAUAAUAAGAAUAUUAGAGUGA